AAAGGAUAAGGAAUUCCAAGUACACCAUCACCCUGUCUCUCCAUCCACAAUGCUGAUCUUGGAUAUGAUCGAUGAUGCACUGGGUUACUGACUCCAGAAGAAAUCAUUGCUUCUUCUGAGGAGCCAGAAGGACCAGAAUGCAGCGGAGAAUGUGCGUUGCUCUGGCCUCCAGAAUCCGCACCAGCAGAAGAAAAUAGAGAACGGCGAACAUAUUCAGCUAAUCUACGUGAAUUUCUUGAAGAAGGAUUUGGAUGAGACACCCAACUUGGAGGUGAUAAAGGACGGACACCCGAGCUUGAGCCAGACCGCGAUGUAGAAGCAACAUUUCCACCAGUGACACUUCUAUUCGUUGGAUUUCUAACCGAGGUUCUCAACUCAGUUGCAGGUACAAACAUAGGAUGUUCCCAAAUGUUUCUCGAUAUGUUUCUCGAGCCGGCUUCCUCCCUAUCACUCAAAGCAAUAGAACUUGAUGAGCUACCAGUUCUGGUGCUAGAGCUUUCAUUCCACCUAAAUGACU
Molecule: unclassified non-coding RNA, 517 nt
Filed under: Hevea brasiliensis (rubber tree)
Lineage: Eukaryota; Viridiplantae; Streptophyta; Magnoliopsida; Malpighiales; Euphorbiaceae
Source: RNAcentral